UAUAAUUUCCUACAUAGUUGUUUUUUUAGGAAAAAAAUAUUAAAAAGGAAAAAAAAAGAUAAGAAAAAAGAACCUUAUUAUUAUUAUUAUUUAAUCAAAAUAAGUCACUGGAGUGUCUCUACACGAGAUAAAAAAAAGAAAAAACAAAAAAAAGAAGAAGAAGAAGAAGAAGACGGUGAUCCCUCUCUUAUUUAUAAGUACAUAUAUAUUUGUUUUCGAAUAUCAUUACGAAUAUAGUAUAUUGAUAUUUCGGGCUUAUAGAAAAAAGUUAUGUCAAAAAGAAAAGAAAAGGAAAAGAGAUAGGAAAAGAAAGGAAAGGAAAGAAAAGUAUAACGUGUAAAAGAAAAACAUUUCCCUCGCGUUUUCAUAUUUGUCAAUGUAUAAAAUGUCGACAUCCGCAGAGAGUAAACGCAUCAGCGAUCGACUGCGAUAUAAAAAGUAAAAAAAAAAAAAAAAGAAAAAAAAAAGAAAGAAAGACAUAUAAUACAAAUUAUAUACAUACGUUUUUCGUUGCGUUUGCGAGUAAACAGGCGGAUAAAGAAAGAAGAUAAAAAAAAUAAUAAUAAUAAUAAUUAUAGUAAAGCAAAAAAGAAAAAAAACAAAAAGAGGAAAAUAUAAUGUAAAAGACUGUGUUGUUUAAUAAAUGUAUCGUUUUUUCUUGCUAAACAAGGAAAUGGAUACUUUGGGCUGGUACAAGUAAAUAAACGAUGAAAUUAUUUAAAAAUGAUAAGGGAACAGUACGGGAUGAAAGCGUGAAAUAAAAGGGAAAACAAAAAAAGAAAAAAAAAAUUAUGCCAUACACGAGGAAUCGCAUCCAUUUGGCCGACUGCAAAAAUAAAAUGAAAGAAAAAAAAAAAAAAAAAAAGAAGAAGAAACAAAAUAAAAAUAAAAUAAAAUAAAAUAAAUAUCGUGCAUGUAUGUGUAUGUACAUAUGCAUGUACGUUUUUCGUUCCAUUUUCUAGUAAACAGGCGGAUAAAAAAAAAAAAAAAAAAAAAAAAAAAAGAGAGAUAAAAACAAAGAAAAAAAGAAAAUAAUGUAAAAGAUCGUGUUGUUGUUGUUGUUAUUGUUGUUUAAUAAAUACAUCGUUUUUUAUUGUUACUGAAUAAGAGAAUAUAAAUAGAAUCUUCCCAUAGAUAUUUCGAGUCGUAUAUAUGCACAACGAAAUUAAUUAGAAAACGAAAAAGAAAUCGAAAAAGUGAGUUAGCGUAAAAAGAAAAAGAAAAGAAGCGGCGACAUAUACGUGAGGAAUCGUAUCAACGGUGCCGAUUGCAAAAUAAAAAAAAAAUAAAAAGAAAGAAAAAAAAAGAAGGAAAUAAAAAAGAAAAGAAAAAUAGCAUAUAUACGUUUUUCGUUGAGUUUGCGCGUGAACAGGCGGAUAAAAACAAGAGAAAAAAAAGGAAAAAGAUUACGUGUCAUUUAAUAAAUGCUUCGUUUUUUUUUUUUUUUUUUUUUUUGAUACGAGAGAUACAGGAUAUGAAAUUUUUGCGUUAAAAAUUGAACGUUUCUUUCGAUAAUCAAAUAUUAAAAGAAAUUGUCUAAUCUGUAAAUGAUAAACUCAGCCGUAUAUAAAUAACGCGUUUUUGAUAUCUAAUCGUAACGUUAAAUAUCGGAAAAUCAAUAUGAGAAUAUACAAUUUUAGAAAUUUCUUUUACAACUUUUCAUUUCUCUUAAUCUGUCGUUUCUAUCCUUGAACUUUAUCAGAAAAGGAAAUGAGAUUUUUUUUCCUUUUUUUUUUUUUUUUCUUUUUUUUUUUUUUUUAAGA
Long non-coding RNA from Vespa velutina, 1763 nucleotides. RefSeq lists it as uncharacterized. Lineage: Eukaryota; Metazoa; Arthropoda; Insecta; Hymenoptera; Vespidae. The record is from RefSeq and is a predicted model, not a curated record. The transcript is spliced from 2 exons.